UUUCUCUCUUACGAUUUUGUAGUUCUAAACAUGUUUAUGAUUCUGUACGUAUUGCGAAAGUGUUCUUAUCUUCUUUUUAUUUUUAAGACAUUCAGCAUGCCUUUUGUUGAUCUUUGGUGUUGUUUAAUUCAGCUUUGUCAUUCCGUGUUCAUUGCUUCUCUAGGAAUCAUGAGUUAGUCAUUUUUUAAAUAAUUGUAUAUAUGUUUGAAAUCAUGUGCUAGCAUUCCAUUUCCUUAGUCUGAAGCUAUCAUAUAAUGUUUGUUUCCAAGCUUUGUUCAAGAUUACCUUUGCUUCACAAUCCGCAUACCAAUGUAGUUGGAUUUAAAGUCCCUAUUUGUCUCGUGAGUAAUAUGUCCUUCAGUCAUGUCUAUCUAAUAGUUAAAGUAAUGAGCUGUUCCCUUUAAGAUUUUGUGUGUCAAAAUAUUUAACAGAGCAAAGAGUGUUUACUUUAUGAAAGUAAUAUUCUUGUACUUUAUAUUUUACUCUCAUUUUGGAAUCAUGUUUGCAGGAUUUUAAAUACCUCAUAAUAAGAAGAAUAGAUUGUGCCCAACAAAAUGCAUGUUUAUGUUAAUAAGUGACUGUAUUUUUGUUUAAUUUAAGGUGACAUUAGGAAGAUAUGAAACAUGUUUUUAUCUACUCGUUGAUUAAAAUGGGAACAACAUUGUAUGAUUCUUUUUGAAUUGAUGAUCUCAUUGUUUUAAAUUUGUUUUUGACUUCAAAUAUUGUACCUGAUAGCAAUCCUAUUUACUUCUGUUGUGUUUGAUGUUAUAUGGAAGUUAAGCUACCAAGUUAAUAUACCAGUGCUACUCUUGUUUUAUGUACCUUAUUCUUUUUUUGUGAGAACUACAUCUCUUCCUCUAAUUUCUUUAUUUUCUUCCUUUACCUGUACACUUUGGAGCAAAUGGAGUCUUAAUUCAGGACUCUCUCAAAACGGAGUCUCAAGAUGAGACUCGACAUACCCAUUUAUGGAGUCAUCCUAUUCUGCAAUUCUUAAACCACAUCGGACAAGCGAAACUCGCUAGAGACCGCCUAUGACUACUUUUCUUUUCUCUUUUAGCGUUCACUCUAUUGAUUUUCUUCUGGUUGUUUUUGCUUAUGAGAUUUAGGUUCAUUUUGGUUUGACGUACUGCUUAACAUAGUAUAUUAGUAAAAUGCUAGUUAAACGUCUAGGAUAUCUUAUUUAGUUAAAUACCCAAAUCAACAGUAAUCGAAAUAUGAUUUCCAAAUUAUUCAUCCAGCCUUGUGAAAAGAUUUUUAAACUGAUUUAUUUACUCCUAUCAUCAUAUCAUCAUAUAAUACUAAAAGUGGGAAGAUUCUAAGGCAAAAGUUGAAUUACCAAAAUGUCCAUAAAAAGUUGAAGAACCAUUUUAUUCUUCACUUAAAAAUUAUACCUAUAAAAUUUUUGUCUAAAAAAGUAAAUGCACCUUUCAAUAAAUAAUAAAUUAGAUAACAAAAUGUAAAAGAUGAAUCCCAGUCUUACGUGGGAAUGUGUUCCAGAAGCUAAUGCAUUCAUUACAAUUUGUACAAGUCUUUUUAUCUUCUCACUGUUUAUUGCAAAUCUACGUUUAUAUAUAUCGUCCUUUGGAAUGUCCUUUCAAUAUUUAAUUUCCUUCAUCUUUCGAUAAUAAUUACAGAUUCAUGUAUGCCAGUCUUAUAGUCUUUUCUUUUCCUUUAUUUAUUUGUUAAAUCAUCAUUGAACAACAAACUCAAUUACUCAAUUUUUUCUCCCAAACCCAUUGUGUGAUGAAAAAAAUUCUGUUUUCAUAAGAAAAUGAUGUUAUUCUAAUCCUGCAUAUCUGGUCACCAUCUCAAGUUUCAACACACCAAAUACAUCUAGAAGUGUUAAUCAGGUACGUCUAUUUUCUUGUUCUUAUUGUUUUGUUAAUUCUAUACCUUAAUUUUAUCCUCUCUACUCAUUUAUCCACGUUAGUUACAUAAAUUUUAAAAUUUCAAUGUACGAACAUGUUAAGUUUGGACAAUAUUUUUGGAUAAAAAAACCUCAAAGUCGGAAUAAUUUGUUUUGACCGAAUUAGUAGAAGAAAGAUUAAUCAAUCAUCCUUUUAAUAUUGCCAUUAGAAAAUCCGGAAAAAAGUUGGGCUACCAUAAAAGUAAAAGUUGGACUAAGCUUUUUGCCGAAUUACUAAAUUUUUUAGUAUAAGAAAAUAUUAAUUUAAAUAUCGGUUCCGUAAUAUAUAUAAAUUUGUGCUACUUGGCACAUUCUCUUCAUUACAGUUUAGAAGUUUCAUCCAAGUUAACAAGUGUUUUCAAGAGAUUCUUCCAAAUCCACACAGCUCAAGCCAUUCUUUCUAGAAAUGUUGGAGUUCCGUCAAAGUUAAAGUUAUUGAAACAAGCUCUUAAAAUUUCGUUCAUCAAAGAAUAUAUAUUCUUAGUAGGAGGAGCAUUAGUUAUUUUGGUAAAAAGGUGAUCAUAUCAUAUUUUAUAUUGUUUCUUGCUAGAACUUAAGAAGUCUAGCAUAUCAUUAGUUUCUAAGGCAGCGAAUUUUUGUAUAUUACACUUUCAAUAUUAUUAUUUUGAUGUUAACAUAUUUCGUUA
Molecule: long non-coding RNA, 2553 nt
Organism: Lycium ferocissimum
Lineage: Eukaryota; Viridiplantae; Streptophyta; Magnoliopsida; Solanales; Solanaceae
Exons: 2
Source: RefSeq, a predicted model, not a curated record